AAACCUGCUCCUCCAAAGUGUCUGGGAAGCAGCGAGGUACCAAGGUGGCUGGAUUUCCAGACUGUUGAGUGUGCAGGCGGCGUGUCUCCAAGGCCAUCCAUCACCUGUGAGUUUCUGCUAAGUGAGAAAAGCUAGCACACUAUUCUCUCACCUUCUCCAUCCUGGAGCUGAAACAGAGAAAAAUAAAUACCACUCCAUCCCAAGGCCCUGUGACACAUGCAAUUAGAUGUCUUUCCCCAGACUCUUGGAUUUUCACUCGGAGUUGGCUGGAUGGAGCUGAGACUUCAUGGACAGAAUGUCUGGGGCUGGAGAAGUUGAAGCCCAUACUCCAUGAUGACUGUGCCUUUGAUAGGAACCAUCUGACUGUGUGCCAGCAACCUGAGGGCUUUCUUCAUGAGGCUAAUUCUCUAGUCUGCCAAUCUCUCUCUCUCCCCUCCCUCCUUCCCCUCCUUCCUAUCUAAAUAAUCCAGUGUUGGCUUCUUCAUCUGGAGAAACAAUACCUCUUUCACACUCUAUAUGCUAACAUGAGUAUGAUAUUGUGUGAGGAGAAAAGUUGAUUCUGGAUUUGGUGCGGUUCUAGAUCAUUCUUAUGGUUUGAGUGUGAGUAUGGUUUGGUAGUGUGGAACGUUUAGGAGGUGGGGCCUAGAGGAAGUGAAUCUCUGAGAACUCCCAGCUUAUCUCCCUCGGCUCCCUGACUGCUAAGGACCUGUUACUCAUCACUAGACACUACAGCAGUUAUGGCUGUGAGCAGCUCCUGUCUCCAUGAUGAACUGUAUCCUCUGAACCAGGAGUCAGAAUAAAUCCUUCCUUGUU
This 813-nucleotide long non-coding RNA is filed under the name Mus caroli (Ryukyu mouse). Its description in RNAcentral is "RIKEN cDNA C030017D09 gene (MGP_CAROLIEiJ_G0002838.1)". Lineage: Eukaryota; Metazoa; Chordata; Mammalia; Rodentia; Muridae. The record is from RNAcentral.